GGAAUAGGAAAUUUUAUUCAGAAGGUACCAUAUCACACUACAAUGGAGCAUCACUCUGAAAAGCUAAACAAAAUAAAAUGGGAGAACAGAAGUUUCCCUUGUACAGAUGGACUUAAACAGACUGAAAUAGUAGCCAUGGAACCAGGAAGAUGCUAUAGAUAUCUUAUAAUUUCAAUGGAACAUGGUAGCUGAUAGUAAGCUUUUAUGGCAUAAGCUACCAGAGCUGUUGGCCUCAACAGCUUCACUCUUUGCCAUCAGCAGCACGAAGUGAGCCUAGCUGAACCGGGGCUUGGGUACCCACCACCUUGGAUGACCCAUAAAUAGACAGAUCAAUGCCCUUAACUUUCUCUUUCUCAAUCUGUUCCUUGAUCCAGAAGUAUGUAAUUCUCAGCCCAUCCUACAGAACAGUAGAUUCAAAUAUGGCUUGAUUAAAUAGGAAGUUGCAGGAAAACUAGGCAAGUAAAUCAUCAAGGCAUGACUAUGAACUUCAAUGACUUUCAUAAAGCUUCCACAUAUACACUUGGCUUGUAAGACUGACCCAUUGCAUAAUCCAAAUCAUAAGUUAAAAAAACCUCGUAAUAAGGCAAGCGGUGUCUUGUUAUAUAAGUACCUUCAAUUUCAUUGUUGGAGCCCAACCGAGCUUCUCUUUGAUCAGUGUGUUGUCUGAGUUACGACCACGCACACCCUCUGGGCCUGGAAUGUGAUGGAUGGGAAGGUUCUUGUUCUCAAAGCUGAGAACAAUCUCGGCCAUCUCAUUCAUGCUAACCAUCUCAUCACUUCCAAUGUUCACUGGCUCCCGGAAGUCUGACUUUGUCAGCCUAAACACAAAUUGGAGCCAAGAUGGUAAUCAAUGAGAACACUGAAGGAUAUGGAUUUCAAUUUGAAGAAAUAAUACUAUUUUUCAACAGUUUGAAUCAUAAUUUAAUGAGUUUAUCUUUCCUUUUUCAGAAAAAGGGGACAGAUUUUUUCCCCUUAAAAGAAGAAAAAUAGAACUUGCUAAGGAGCAUGUAUUCCUUUUUAUUUCUAAAACAAGCAAAAACUCCUUUCCCCAUGAAAUCCAGAGAGCAUUGACCAGACAAGUUCAAUGCUUGUCCCUGAGUCCCCCAGCUUCAAGCAAAUAUUAGUCAGAGAUACUACAACAGUACAAAAAGACGCACUCAAGAGUCUUCUCAGAAGUUUAAUAAGUACACUGAUUUAAAGGAGAAUCUCAUUAUUUUAUUUCCACUUCUGAACUAUGAAAGAUUUGUGGAAUUUGAAAUUAUGUCAAACCUAAGAACCUCAAAAUGAAAAGUGAGUUUCGGUCACAUUGCUCACCUGAGGACACCUUCUACACAUUCAUCAAUGAAGGUGAAAGAACGAGUUUGAAGUCCGUCUCCCCACAUUUCAAACUUGUCGGUGGAAGUGAGAGCCUUUCGGCAAAAAGCAGCAGGAGCCUUCUCUCUCCCACCUACGACAAAUAUACCAAAACGACAAAAUUACUAAGAUCCAAAAAUAUGAUUUAGAAUUUAAAGCGGGCUUAAACCUCUCUGCACUUGGCUCCCUACCAUUGACGGUGACCAAGAGACAAAAUCACGAAUACAUGUAGAAAAUCACCAUAACUUUUAAGAGCAUACCUUUCCAUGUUCCAAAAGGUCCAUAAAUGUUAUGGAAUCUUCCAAUACGACAUUCAAUUCCAAAGUCUUUGGUAUAGUGCUUACACAACUCCUCCGUAGCAAGUUUCUCCAAUCCAUAAGCAUCUUGAGGCUAAAAAACAAGCAAAAAAAUAAAUUCUUCCAAAUAAUUUACAAAUAAAAAAUUCAAGCAGAUGCCACAUUUCUGAGCAUUAAAACUAACUAACCUCUGCAGGCCAUGCAUCAGACUCCUUCAAGCUCACAUUAGUUUCCAACUGCUUAAAUUCAGGGUAGAUGCAAGCACUAGAGGCAUAGAAGAACCUGCACAAUGUGGAAUAAUCAGAUAUUAGAGAAUUCUCAGGACCAGAAAAAUUCAUUAGUAAAUUUACGUCUCCUAGACAGAUAAAUGCUGAGUACAUGAAACCAAUUUUCAUAUCAAAUGGAGAACUUAGUCAAAGCCAGGAUAGAACAAAUUGAAGACAACAAACCUCUUAACCCCAUUGAUCCUAGAAGCCUCAAGCAUGUUGAAGCUGAUCAUUGUGUUAUUGUACAUAAUAACUGAAUGGUUGGACUGGAUGAACCCCAUUCCACCCAUAUCAGCAGCAAGGUUAAACACAUGGUCAACUCCUGUAGUGACCUUCAAGCAGUUAUCCAUCACCCUGAGAUCAACAAGAUGAAAUUCAUGACAGAACAUAUCUUCAGUCAUGUGCUCGUUCUUCUUCCAGUCAGAAGCAAUAAUGUAGUGGCCCUCGGUCUUCAGACGCCGAGCAAUGUGAGAGGCAAUAAAACCACCAGCACCAGUGAUUGAAAUCCGGAGCUUUUCAGAUUGCCAGUAUGGUUCCCUCUCAAGCUCCUCAUAGGUGUACGCACCAUAAGUGGUUCCAUCGUUACUUCCCAUUCUGUAGUAAGUCAAUUAAUCAGAAAAGCCCGAGGAGCUUACAAGCACCAAUAGAUCAAUAAUGUCCAUCUUCCAUUACCUACUUAAGAUAGCUAAAUUAAACAUAUAAAGCCGGGAAAAUAAAUAGAUAAUAUUAACAAUUAAUUCAUGAAGGAAAUGGCAACCCAAUCCUUGCAAUCUUAAUGCAAUUCUGUUUCUGUAAACAAAAAUUUAAUAAAUAAAUAUACAAACAGCAGUAGGAGACACUGAUAUGAGAAACAGAAUCAGAAUCAGAAUCAGAAUCUGAAUCUCAAACAGACACCAUGAUAUUUAUACAACAAGGAAUAAAUAAAUUACUGAAAACCAACCAACCCAAUUUUAAAAAUUGAACAAAAUCACACCAAAAUAAUCAUAAAAACAGAAUCCAGAAAAGGUUGAAUGAACACAAACCAAGAAAAUAUAAUUUAGAAGUGACAAUUGCAUCAUGUCUUUCACAUGGGUAACCAUAAAUUAGAGAGCAAAUACUAAAUAAUAAUCCAGAGCCAACAACUCCAGAUGAGCAACACACUCACAAUAAUAAAAUAAUUAAAUAAACAUAUUCCAUUAAAUAUACCAACAAUGGCAUGAAAAAAAGAAUUUGUCAUUCUGGUUAGCCCAAGAAAAAAAAGGGGGAAGCACUGAAAAAGGUGAAAUUUCUCAGAAAUUGAACUUAGCUGAUGAACAAAAUUAACACUUUGAGGAAGUUUUCUUCAAGAACCUUCAACUGAUGUAAACAGAGGUUGUGAUGUCACCACCACAAACGCAUGAGAAACCCCCAUUGAAAAAAAAAAUGUACAAAAUUCCUUACAAAGAUGAAGCAGAAAAACAGAGGAUAAAAGAAAGGGACCCAGAGAAGCAUGAAAUCAACAAAUUGAAAGAAACCCACCAAAAUUAAAACCCUAACAGAGGCCAUCCAAAGAACCCAGAAGAAAACUUUCAGAGACAUCAUGCACACACAAACAACAAGAACAUUAGCAUUGAGAAAACAGAGAAACUAAAAGAAACCCAUUACCUCAAGAUUUAGAAGAAGAAGAUAAUGUGGAAGCUCUCAAGGGAGUGAAUGGUUGUGAGGGUGUAUGCUCUUGUAACGCCUCUCUUAUACACAAAAUGCACGCACCACAAGGCACAGUGAGACAAAGAGACAUUUCAGAGAGCGUCGCUUUGCGAGAGCCCAUCAACCCAAAGUAGGAAAUAUUACUAAUUUUAACUUUUUUUUUUCUACAAAAAAUUAAUUUUUUUAUGGUUUGAUUUUAAAUUAAGUUGUAUAUUGAAUUUAAGAUAAUUUUCUAACAUGAUUUUCUACUUUUAAAGAAAAUAAAAUUUAUUUUUGAUAAUUUUAAAAACUUUUACUUCAAUAAUUUUAUUUUCUAGAGGAGUGAAAAAAAGUGUGUUUUUAUACACAUAUAAAAAAAAUCACAAAUUAAAAUUUUCGAGUUUAUAAAAUAUAAAUUUUAAAUAAUUAUUUAAAAAAUAAUUAAUAUUUAAGACUUUUUUUUAGGCCAAAUGUAUUUAUUUUUAAGGAUAUAUGUACUACCUUUAGUAAUUCUAAAUAUUAUAUUUUAUUUAUGAGUGCAUAAAUUUGAAUUAUUUUUAAAGGGUUUAUAUUUUAUAAUUAUUUUUACAUGAGUGUAUAAAAACACAUUUUUUUUUAAUGACAAAAAGAGAUUUUUAUUCACAAUUAUUGGGUUCUAAGGCCAAGUAACAAAACCAAAAAAUAAAAUAAAUUUAGUACAUUAUUUAUUAAUUUUUGAAAAAAAAAAAUUAAAUUUAAAUAAUUUUUUAUGAUAUAGAAAUAGGGUUAAGUUUUCAUAUUAAUAAUUUUUUUCAUUUAUAAUUUUAUUCAAUGCUCUAAAUAUUAAUCAUAAAUUAAAAUCAUAAUAAAACUGAUGUGGGAUAAGGUUAAUUUCAACGAGACCCUAUAGUGCAAAUACACUAAGUUACUACAAGUUUUAAAUUUCAUUUAUUAACAUUCUUAUAAAUGUAUUUCAUAUAUAAAUUUUAUAAUUACUUUUAUCUAAAAUAUUUUUACUUAAAAUCUCUCCAAAAAAUAAAUUUAAUAAAUGAAAUAAAUUUAUAAGGGUAUUAAUUAAGGAAAUUUUAAACCUAUAUCGACUUAGUGUAUUUACGCUAAAAUUGAAGGGCGUGAAUGAAAUUAACCCAUAUGAAUAAAUAUGGUAUUUUUGGGAAAUAAUAUAAAGACCCAUAAAUCAUAUGGCAAGUGACACUUUUUGCAGGUGGGUAUUGGACUCACGUGGGCAAAACAUGGCCAAGGGGCAGUGGGGCUGAAAGGAAGAUUCCCAGAAAGAGUGCUGAAAGUGACAUCUGUGUCUUCCAACCACCAAGAAAUUACUUGGAAAAUGCUUUCCCAAUUGUACAAUGAGAUGAAAUCUUUUCUUUUUCUUUUUUUUUUCCUUUUUUUUUUUUUUUUUGGUGUGUGUGUGUUGAUGGAGUUGUUAUGAAAGGGAAUUAAUAAUAAAAAAAGGGAAACGAAAUUAUUGAAAAAUGGUGUUAGGUUUUGUUAUGGCCAAAUGUUAGGUUGAUUUUGUAUUGGAUUUGGUUGGGAUGGAGCAGCAAUACAUGUAAUUUUGCUCAAAUUCUUACCUACUUUUUGUCAUCUUUGUGAAAUUAUUGUUUACUGAUCCCACAUAGAUGGGGGUGGGUCAUAUUUGGGUUUGAUUAUCUUUGCAUCCCCAAAAAUUUGGAAAAUGGGUUUGGGAGGUUUGGGUUAAAAAUGGGCCUUUUAGCCAUAAAGCAUAUAUUUGGGAUCUAUUUUAAAAUGUUUAUUUACAAUAGUCUAUUUGUAUUUAAUGUUUUAUUUUUAAUUUUUUUUGAAAAAAAAUAUUUGAAAUCAUAUUUUCAAAGAUCAAUUUGAUCCCAAAUUUGAGUUUCUGAGUUAUAUUUCAUAAUAUCUUCCGGAUAGGUUUUUAUUUUGACUUUAAUUUGAAGUUAAAUAUGAAGUCAAAGUCAUAUUUUUUAAAGAAUAAUACUAUUAUGGUAAAAGUUUGAUUAAAUAUGAAAGAUUUUUUUAAAUAAAUUAAAAUAAUUUUUUUUUAUAAAAAAGCAAUAUUGUUACUAACUUUAUAAUUAAUAUGUAUAAAUACUUUUCAUGAAGCAAAAAAAAACGAUUUUUAAUUUCUCAAAAAUGAACUCAAAUAAUGCCAACUAUGAACUUAACAGAAAUAUUUAAAAUUGUACCUCCUAUAAAGAUUAUUCCAGAAUAAAUGGAAAAAAUGUUUUUAGAUUUUAAGUAGUGAAUUCAUACCGGGUCUAAGUGAUUGAUAGAUGGAUGGAAAGAACAAUUUCACCGUAUUGUUUGUUUUUAUAACUUUUGGAUAAAGACAACUUACUUUUAAGCUUCAUAUGUUUAUUCUUUUACUAUUUUUUAAUAUAUUACUUAUUUCUAAAAAAAAUUUAUUGAAUAGAAAAAGUUGUAACAUUUAGUUUUUUUUUUAAUACUAAAAGUUACUUAUUGAUUUUUUUUAUUUCUUAAUAUUUAAUAAAAAUAAAAUAUUUAAAAAAAUAAAUAUUUUAAUACUUAAUUACUAUGAAAUUUUAAAUUAUAUUUAGAAUUAAGUAAAAAACAAACAAACAAACAAACACUACCUUACUCAUUGACCGCAAAUUAUAAACCGUUAAAAAGAGUUAUGGAUGAAAUGAGUUUAUUGAAACCACUCAAAAUUAAUCAUUUUAUAAUAAUUAAAAUGAAUAAAUAUAUCCUUAUAUUUAUGCCUCCCCAAUGCAUCAUUUUGAAAAAUAAAUUAACUAUAAUAUCAAUGAAUUCCAAUUUCAUUCUUUAGAGUCUAAGAAAUCAGAGAAUGAAUCAAUUGCAACUUCAUAUUUUCAAAAAACUAACUUAUUUGUAAGUACAUUUAGCACACAACUCUAUUAGAAUUUGAUGAGCUUCAACUGCAAUUCCCAAUCAUUUCUUCCCAUGUGUUUUUUUUAUAUUUUGGAAGUAACUUUCUGUAAAAAAAAAACAAAAAAGAAAAAUUAUUAUUAGUCUUUGUCAGAAUUUGAACAUGUUUGAAUUCUACUUCAGCUAUUGAAUCUUAACUUUAUGAUUUUAAGUGUAAGCUUUAAUACCAAUUAGUGUGUUAGUGGGAGCGUUAAUUCAAACAUAUUAAAAGAAAAACACAAAAAAUAAAGCAAACCAUAUAAAAGGAACUCGAGAUUUUAAUGUAGUUCAAUCAACCAUACCAACCUUUAUUGAUCAAUAUGAUAGAAGAUAUUACAGAGGGAAUAAAAAAAAAGUACAAUUAUCGGGUCUUUUUCAAUCUUCAUCUUAAAUUAUGAAUAAUUGUGUUUCUCACUCUUUCUCAUAUCUACAUCCUAAUAAACCCUCUUACUUCACUGGGUAUUUCUCGUUCUUCUUCACAUUUUUUUCUUAUAACUUUUUUCCUUUCAUGAAGUAGAACAUUUAUAAAAAUAUUCUCAUUAGCUUUCCUUAUUUUAUAAAAAAUCUAAUUAUAAUUAGGUAUAAGUUAGAAAAUAUUCUAUAUAAUAUUCUUUUUACGAAAAAAAAGUAUAUUCCAAAUAAGAAUUUGAGAGAACAUCCCAACAUUAAGAUUAUUUAUUAUCAACAAAAUUCUAUUUUCCAUCAUAAUGGUUCAAAUUGAUCUGAUUUUACAGCCAUGGAUUCUUGAUUUUAAAGCUAUUUUUCUUAUGUGAUACCAAUUUUACUCCAUUCAUUUUGUUUGGUAAUAACUACCACUAAGGAAGUUGUCAAAUGGUUGUCAUUUAAAUACAAAUAUACAAAUCAUUUUUCUAUGCAAGUAUUUGUCUUAUUAUUGUUUUCUUUAAUUGUUUUAUUGCACCCCAUAAAGUAAUAAGCAAUUUGGGUGGUGAUAGGAUUUGAAUUCUUAUUUAGAAGCAUGGAUUGGUAGAAAGAUACUGGAUUUUCUUUAUGAGAUGGGGUGGACCACAUUUAUGGACAGAGAAGAGUUGAGUAAUAUUCAAAAAAAGGGGUAGGUCCAUUUUUAAAUGUUUUUUAGAACCCAAAUUUUAUCAGUUAAGAUUAAAAAUCACAUAAAAAAAAUCAUUGAAUCCAUUUAACAAUAAGACCUAACUAACCACUUUUACCAAAAGAUUGGAUUAUAAAUUUGUAUAACUUUUUUAUUUCAAUUUUAUCAUUUUUAUAAAAUAAAGAGUUUUGUUGUUGAAUAUUUUUUAUAGGAGUCAUUGAAGACCGAAAUUUGAAAAUUUAAUCCUUUAUUUUUUUUUACUAUCAUUUUGAUAAAAAUACCCUUAUUUUUUCUUGUAAAAAUAUUUUUUUUUCUUUUAUAACAUGCCUGUAAAUACUUAAAAUAAUCAAGGGCGUUUAUGUAAAAAAAUGAGUUACUCUUCAGAUAAAAACAUGGGAGGUAUUAAAUUCACAAAUAUGAGGAUUAUUUCAUUCCCUUUUAACCAAUUAAUUCUAAAAUUUAACUUCUUUAAAAUUAAAUCACUUAUUUUAAACCAAAACAUUUUAUUAUUAAAUUUUUUUGGUGCCAUUAUAUAUAUUUUGAUAAUUAUAUUUCAUUUUUUUAAUUCUCUAAUUUAAUAAAAUUAAAACUCUAAAUAGAUUCUAUUUAAUUUAUUUAUAAGAAUACUCAUUUUUCUAAAUUUCUUAUUUAUAUAGUUUUAAAUAAUAAAAAAAAGAAAACAAUUACAAAUUAAAAUAUAAAAACCUUUUUAUAUUAUUUAUUUAUUUAUUGUAUUUUUUUCUUUCAUUAUAAAUAUAUAUUGUGGUAAUUUAUUGAAAUUUUCUUUAAUAUUUUGAUAAUUUAUUAUAUUUAUGAAGUUAUAAAUUUUCUUUAAUAUAAUUAAAUAAUUAUGUAUUUAUUUAAUCUAGCAAGUUAGUUGUUCUACAUUAUAUAGUGUUAAUUUUGUAUGUUUUUCAUGUAGCAUGAUUGCAAUAUGCAGGUGAGACUAUUGCAUACUGUUUGAUAGUAUGACAGCUACUAGUAAAAAGGAUGAAAGGUGAAGGUUCACAAUCAAUUAAUAAUUGACAAAAAUGAAAUGAGAAAAGCCUAAUGGACUUAGUAUAAAAGACCAACAAAAAAAUUAGAUGAGAUGGAGUCAUUACAAAUGUGGGACCCAUUAACAUGAUUUGAUUUCUUUUAAUGGGGUGCAAUGGGUGCAUUUGAUGGAUUUCUCAUUCAUUCUUCUAUGCUUUUUAACAAUCAAGUGUCACAUAGGAAUAGAGGAAGGAGGGAGAAUGUUAUCAAAAUUUGUAAGUCAUUUAUGUUUAUGAUAAGAUUUGUAUAUUUGUAUGGUCUGGUUGGGAAGGAGAAGAGCACAAGUCAAGGGUGUUAACAAAGACUAUGUGUGAUCCAAUGAUAACAAUGUGCAAGUUAUUUGUGAUUAUGAUACAAUUUGUAUAUUUGUAUGGUCUAGAGGGAAGGAAUAGAGCAAAAGUCAAGGGUGUUAACAAAGACUAUGUGUGAUCCAAUGAUAACAAUGUGCAAGUUAUUUGUGAUUAUGAUACGAUUUGUAUAUUUGUAUGGUCUAGAGGGAAGAAUAGAGCAAAAGUCAAGGGUGUUAACAAAGACUAUGUGUUAUCCAAGAAAUAAUUUUUCAUUUCCCUUACCUAGUAAAAUACUUUAACUAAUAAUAUACUUAAAUGUUGUAGAAUUACUUCCAUAUAAGUUUAUAUUUGUUAAUAAUAUUUAUGUGAUGUUACAUAUACGUGUACUUACAGAUUUAUGACACCUUAUCAUAAUGUACGAUAUUAGUUAUUUGAUUUUCAAGGUAAUUGUCGCUUUAGAAAGAAGGAAGAAAUGUUCAAUCAUGCACAUGAUGAAUUGGGGAAUAUGAUUGAAAGAGUUUUUGGAGGGUUUCAAAGUUAUAAUUUUCAAUCUUCAAGAGGAUCAUAUCUUAUCCUUUCCUAGUGCAAAGGAAUAUUAUUAUUGUAUGUGUAACAAUACAUAACUAUCUUCAAAGAACAAUAGUUAAUGAUGCAAUUUUCAAUUAAUUUGAUUUUAAUAAUUUUGUACCUAAAAGUACCCAUAAUAAUAAUGAAAAUUCAACAUCAAUAGAAUUUAGAGGAUAUGAAAUAUAAUAUAAUCGCAUUUUAUGUGACCAAAUUGCAAAUGAAUUAUUUAGUGGUUGAGUUUAAAUAUUUUCUUUUAGUUAUUUUAAAUAUUUAAGAUUUUUUUUUUGUAAUAAUUUGUUUGUUUAGUAAUUUUUAGCAUAUAAUGCAUAUGGUAUUUUAUGCCAAAGAAUAUUUUUAUUGAUUAAUAUAUUAUUCAUAUAGAAUCUAGAAAGAAUAUUAAAAUACACUUAUAAUAUGUAACUCUUAUAAUCUAGUAUUAAAAUUUUUCAGUAUUUAACUUUCAUUUUUAUGAAAUGUUACCACUUGGACAUUACCAUGUGACACACUACAAGGAGUGAAAUGGAGUAAAAAAAUAAAGAGGAACCAUGCCAUGUUAACACGCCAUGAAGUAGCUUAAUCAAAUUGAAAUUGAAACGGAAAGGAUGCAUACCAUAUCAAUUGAGAAAUUAGUAGAUUUGGGGUGGUGACAUGGGAAAUUCAAUUGGAAAAAAUCUAGGUUGUGACAUGGAUAAUUGGUUGGAGAGACUUUAUGAGAUAAAUGUAUUGGAACGAUGUGAUAAUUGAGGAAUGUUAUAGAAAAUAAAGUGGAAUGAGAAGAAAUCUAGAAAGGAAAAAUAGAAUGCUAAGAAAGAAAUUGAAUGAAUAUUUCAUUAGAAGUCUUCCUUUUUAUAUAAAGUCACAAAGAGACUUACAUCAUCUUGGAUGAUCAUCCACAAGUUCCCAUAAUGGAACAAAUUCUCAUAUUUUGUAACAUUCCCCCUUAUAUAAUUAUAAGAAUAUGGUGACUGUCUUAUUAAAUACCUCGUCAAUAAAACCUAGUAAAACAAAACUUGGAUGAAGGAAAAAAGAGUACAGUAUAUCCAUAUUAAUAUUUUUCCCCUCAUGUAGACAUGAUAAUGAUUUCUUUAAUUUUUUUAACUAGUAGAUCUCUCAAUAUUCAUAUUUUGAUGUUGUAUCUUAACUUUUUAAACAUAGUUAAAGAUAACGCCUUUGUGAAUAGUGUUGGGAUUUAAUCCCUAAAAGCAAGAUAUACUAAAAUGAAUUAAGAAAAACACCCAAAAGGCGGGGGGCGGGGAGAGGGGGGGGGGGGGGGAAAUUGGGUUUUUAAAAAUUUUUCAAUCCCACCAAAUUCAACCCCCAAAAAACCAAAAAAAAAGAAAAAGGUUGGGAAAUUCAAAUUCGGGUUUAAAGGGGGUCACCCCUCCUUUGCCACCGCCCCCCCCCCCCAACCCCCCAACCAAGAAAGGGUUCCUUAAACUUAAAGCUUCAACCAAGCUUCCAACCUUUUUAACCUUGGAUUCCCCCCCCAAGGGGCCCUUAAACAAUUUCUCCAAAAUCCAAACCCCUGGAAGGGUUUAAACCCCAAAAUUUUUAAAAAAAAAACCCCCCCCCCCACCUAAAGGGAAGCCCCAAACCAAAAAAAAGCUGGCUGGGCCCCCAANNNNNNNNNNNNNNNNNNNNNNNNNNNNNNNNNNNNNNNNNNNNNNNNNNNNNNNNNNNNNNNNNNNNNNNNNNNNNNNNNNNNNNNNNNNNNNNNNNNNUUCCAAAAAGGGAAAAAUUUUUAAUUUUUCGAAAAAUUCCCCUUUAAAUAAUAAAAAGAAAAGGGGGAGGGUUUUAUAAAAACCCUCUCAAAAAAAACUUGUUAAAACAAAUUUGGGAGGAGGAAAAAAAGGGUCCUGUUUUUCCAUAUUAUUUUUUUUCCCCCAAUGUAACCAAAUAAAGGUUUUUUUUAAUUUUUUAAAUUAGUGAAUUUCCAAAUUUUUAAUUUUUAAUGUUGUUUUUUACUUUUUUAAAAAUAUUAAAAAAAAACCCUUUUGGAAAUGGUUUGGGGUUUUAAUCCCAAAAACCAAGAUAUAUAAAAUGAAAUAAAAAAAACCCCCAAAAAGGGGGGGGGGGGGUGGGGGGGGGGGGGGGGUGAAUUGGGUUUUUAAAAACUUUUCAAUCACAACAAAUUCAAACACAAUAUAAGCAAAAUAAAGAGAUAGAGUUAGAGAAUUCAAAUUCGGGUUUAUAGUGGUUCAGCACUUCUUUGCCUACGUCCACUCUCCUCAAUCUCCUAACCGAGUAAGGAUUCCAUUAACUUAAAGCUUCAACCAAGCUUCCAAUCUUCUUACACUUGGAUUCCAGCUCUAAUGGGCUCUUAUACAAUUUCUUCAAGAUUCAAACCUCUUGAAGGCUUUAAUACUCAGAUUUUUAUAAGAAAUAAUCCCUCAACCUAGCUUAAGGAUAGCUCAAAUACAAGACAAAGCUAGCAUGACACACAAGAGUGCACUAAAGGAUAUGCAAGUGGUGAUUUAAUGCACUAUGAAGGAAAUGAGAGCUUUUUGAUCAAGAAUAGGUAGGUAGACUAUUGAAUGCAAGUGUUCUCUUGUCAAUAAAUGAAGUGGAGCUCUGAAUUUAUAGGUUUCUAAGCUCGGGAGUCAAAAAUAGAAAAAAGUAACCUCGUCUGGUCGAGUUAGGGGUUGACCGGUUCACUAGCUGUUGGAGCAUUUAAUGCUUGACAGGUUACCGUUGCCUCGACCGAUCCUUGACCAGGAAGAGAAUCACCUCGACCAGGAAGAGAAGGCCACUGGGAGAGAGAGAAAGUUUUUGGCAUUCCUCGACCGGUUCCUCAAUCGAUUGAGCCGGUUGGCCAUAGCCUCAAGUGAUUGAGCCUUUUUGGCCCCGAAAACCUAUUUUUUUAAUUCCUUUCUUUUCUAACAUUUAGACAAGGUCUUUAAGUGAAUUAUUAAGCCAAUUAUAAAACAUUUUUCCUAAGGUACAUUAGUUAAAAACUCAGGUUUUAAUGAAAUCGAAGUUUUAAAGAAUAAACCGAGAGCAUGAAACAUGUGAAGAUCCUAAGUGCAUUCAUGCAUUCAUCUUACAUUAGUUUCCUAUGAUCACAAGUCUUCCAAGCGUCUCGAUCUUGUAUCCAUUUGGUCCUUUGAUGAAUUUUCGAGUUUAUGUCUGAGAUUCUUAAUCAUUAAACCAAUUAGUCACUUAACCAUGGUUUGUUAUCAUCAAAACCCGAUUAGGAGAACCCUUGGGCUAACAAUCUUCCCCUUUUUUAUGAUGACAAACCUUGGUUAUCUAGGAGAGAAAAAAAGUCUUCCCCUCAAACCAAUCAUGGAUCAAUCAAACAAUUUUUAAUAGAAAACAAUGUAAAACACGAAAAUUUGAAUAGGGAAUAAUGGAUCAUGAAAAUAUCAUAUCAUAUAUAUAUGGCAACCUCACAUGUACACGAAAACAUAUGCUAAACAAGAUAGAUAUGACAAUGAUGACAAUGACAUGCAUGAGGGUCUCCUAGAUCCUAUAUAUUUCUCCUAAUUUGGCAACAUAAAAAAGAAACUGAUGAGGAACUCUAGAUAAUCUCAAGGCUUAGGGGGUGGAAGAGGAAACACAAAACAGAGGUAAGCCAUCAUCUCCUCAUGCUGACUCACCUGGCGACUCUCAAUGCGAUCAAUGCUCUACUAGAGAUGCUCGAAUGUAGCCUGUUGCUGAUCCAUACGCUCCUCUAUGCACUCAAAUCUCUGCUGGAAGUGCUCAAAUAGAGAAGUGAAGCCAAUCUGAUACUGAUCUAUGUGCUCCUCCAUAGAGUAGAAACGAGUGUCAUGGACUAAAGCAAACUCCUCCAUACGAGUCCCAAGGGAGCUGAUCUGAGCUGAGACAUCCAUCCAAGGCGCAUGAUCAGGAGCGUGAGGUGCCUGAGAUGGUAGCUCUGUGUGAGGAAGCUCGAUAAAUGAUGGCUGAGAUGAUGGUCCUGCUGUGUAAGAUGGCUCAGUCAUCAUAGGCUCGGAGAAAGUGGACUCCACAUGAAUACCAUCUGACUGAGGUAGAGGCGAAUUGUCAAGCUCGGGUCCUCUCUACUUCGGGAUGCAUCUGUCCCUGACCCCAGGCCUGUCGCUCAGCUCUCCUAAUCCAAGAGCCAUCGGGUGCCUUCUCGAACUUCAUUCGCCCCAAGGACUGCUCAUUGUAUGUGUCAUAGCUAGUGGGGGCCUCAAAAUCCGUCUCUCUGCUCAAGUCGACCCUAGCAUCCUUGAAUACUCGGGUAAGGAAACAGUCGUAGGGGAGUACUCGGGUCGUGCUCUCAACGCAGGAUAUCAUAUGCAUUAUCAUUAGAUACCCUACGUGAAUCCGUCUCCCAGUCAGAAUCGAGUCCACAAUGAAUGCCUCAAGGUAGGAGACCUCGUCUCGAUGUCCUCCUCGUGGCAAUAAGAUGGAGCAGAUCAUGUGAUGAAGGACUUGGCUGGGCACGAUCAGGCUGUGUGCCAAUGGUUUGCCCAUCCCCUGGGCAUCUGCGAGUCUACACAACCUCUAAACAACCUCUCUAGGCUCGAAUCUCGGCACAAUGGGCCACAUCUUAGCCUCAUACACCCAGAGGCCAACUGAAGGAAUGUCGAGAAUAUGCGGCAGAUACUCUCUAGGCUCAAUCCAAUCUCAACUUCUCUAAUCGUGGACAUGAUCGGUCCUCCAAGCCCAUAUGUCACCAGUGAAUAAAAAACUCUCACCAGAGUCUGGAAGAUCGGCUCGGAAAUCGUCACAACUGGCAGUCAUCCCAUCCGACUAAAGAGUCCCUCAAACCCGAAGUACUGAAGUUAGGAGAAAUUGAUACUUCUCCCUGGGAUGACUUUCCUUUGGGAGAACUUUUGCUUGUAUCGCUGAUAGUCUUCGAUGGAACUAAAGAGGGUCGUGUCAUACCUCGCCUUUCGGUGAGCCUCCGUCUGCUCAGGUUGAAAUGGCUCAGCAGGGUGUUUGCCCUAAGCCCUGGAGGUGCCUGUCUCUUGCCUAGGAGCCAUCCAACGAAUGGAAUAGGGAGAAAGAGAAGUCCAAAAGGAGAAUGAAAUCAAACAAGAGAGAGCAAACACCAACCCGAAGCCCUAGGCGCACGGAGAUGAAGCUAAACCAAGCUUGAGGAGCGUAGUACAGAGAGAAAACGCUCCCAAGACUGAAAACCCUAAGUUUUCGAUUGAAACCCUAACCUCGAAUGCGUCCCAAAAUCCACUCCAAAGCCUUCAAUCGAUCCAAGAAUCAACCCAAAAUAGUCUCUAGAAGCAAGUAGGUGAAGAGUUUUCAAGGAGAUGAAGAAAACAGUGAGAGAAAUAACGCGCGGGGGCCUCUUUAAAUUCCUAGCCUCGACAAACCGGUCGACCAAUUCCUCAACCGAUCAACUGCUUGGUCAAUGGUCAACGGUCCAAAAUUUUUGCAUUUUCUUGUCUCGUGAUCCUCUCCCUACCUUUUUCAGUUGAAAUCCCCAAUUUUUUAUGUCCAAUGCCAAGGGAAUUUUGAUUUUUGGUCAAAAUUUGACCUUUUUCCUAAGAUUAUUUCUAUAUGAUGCAUAUGAUAUGAAUUUCACGCAAUCAUAAGGUAUAUUCAAUCAAGAAUUCAUCAAGCAAUCAUUUGAUCAUAAAGAAAUCACCCCUAAUUGUCUUCUAAUAUCAACAAAUUGCUCUUUACUUAGAAGUUUUAUAAAAAUAUCGGCAAGUUGAUCUUUUGUGCAUGGUCUCUAAGAAAAUGGUGUCUAAUCUCUAUAUGCUAAGUCCUAGAGUGUUGCACUAGAUUUUUUGAAAUGUUUAUGGUACUAGUGUUAUCACAUUUAAUAGGAACAUGCUCAAAAAUCAAAUUGAAAUCACUAAGUGUUUGUUUCAUCCAAAGGAUUUGUGCACAACAUAAACCGGUUGCCAUGUAUUCGGUUUCCGCCGUAGACAAAGCUACCGAAUUUUGCUUCUUACUAUGCCAUGAAACAAGUGAGUGUCCUAGGAAAUGACAAGUGCCACUAAUGCUUUUCCUUUCAACUUUACAAUCGGCAAAGUCGGCAUCCGAGAAUCCAAUUAAUUCAAAGUUAUCACCCUUAGGAUAUCAUAAGCCUAUGUCCAUUGUCCCUUUUAAAUAUCUAAGAAUUUGUUUUACGGCACUUAAAUGAGAUUCUUUAGGACAAGAUUGAAAUCUAACACACAAGCAUACACUAUACAUGAUGUCGGGUCUACUAGCGGUCAAAUAUAGCAAAGAACCUAUCAUGCCUCAAUACAUAGUUGAGUUGACGGACUUACCUAUCUCAUCCAUGUCAAGCUUGAUAGAUGAACUCAUUGGAGUCUUAAUUGUUUUGGCUUCCUCCAUAUUGAACCUUUUGAGGAGAUCUCUUAUAUACUUUGCUUGAUUGAUGAAGGUUCCUUCCUUUAGUUGCUUGAUUUGAAGUCCAAAGAAGAAGUUAAGUUCUCCCAUCAUGCUCAUUUCGAACUCACUAUGCAUGCAUUUAGAAAAUUCUUCACAAAGAGAGACAUUAGUAGCUCCAAAAAUGAUAUCAUCAACGUAUAUUUGCACUAAGAGCAUGUCAUUUUCUUUGGUUUUUAUGAAAAGAGUUGUGUCAAUUUUUCCCAUUUUAAAACCCUUUUUCAAAAGAAAUUUACUCAAUCUUUCAUACCAUACUCUAGGUGCUUGUUUCAAACCAUAAAGUGCCUUUUUAAGUUUAAAAACAUGAUUAGAAAAGUUAAAACUUUGAAAACCGGGUGGUUGUUCAACAUAUACCUCUUCAUUUAUAAAGCCAUUUAAGAAAUCACUUUUCACAUCCAUUUGAUAUAAAACAAAGUCUUUAAAACAUGCAAAGGCAAGUAGCAUCCUAAUGGCUUCCAAUCUAGCUAUGGGAGCAAAGGUUUCUUCAUAAUCUAUCCCUUCUUCUUGAUUAAAACCUUGGGCUACCAAUCUUGCUCUAUUCCUUAUAAUUAUGUCAUUUUCAUCCAUUUUAUUUCUAAAGACCCAUCUAGUUCCAAUAACACUUUGAUUUUGAGGUCUUGGAACUAAUUUCCAUACUUCACUUCUUUCAUUGGUUUAACUCUUCUUGCAUAGCAAUCAUCCAAUUUUCGUCAACUAGAGCAUCUUUUAUAUUUUUAGGUUCAAUUUGAGAGAUAAAGCAAGAUUAUUGUAAAUAUUUCUAAGAGAUGAUCUAGUUCUUACCCCAUUAGAUGGAUUACCUAUAAUUUGAUCUUGUGGGUGGUUGAUGACAAACUUCCAAUCUUUAGGGAGGUCUUGGUUUGAUUCACGUUGCACUUGUUGAGGAGGAGGUAGUGUCAAAGGUGAUUCUUCUUUCUUGGGAUCCUCUACAAUUUCUUCUUGUUGUUUUCUAUCUUCAAUUUGUAAUUUUCCCAUGGAGGUCUCCAAACCUAAAUCAUCAUCAAAGCUCUCUCUUUCUUGGAGAGAAUUGUUAGAUUCAUAAAAAAUAACAUGGAUGGACUCCUCAACAACCAUGGUUCUUUUGUUAAAAACUCUAAAGGCUUUACUUGAAGUUGAAUAACCAAGAAAAAUUCUAACAUCCGAUUUUGCAUCAAAUUUUCCAAGAUUGUCUUUGGUGUUUAAUAUAAAGCAUUUGCACCCAAAGACUUUGAAAUAGCUAAUGUUGGGUUUCUUGUUUUUCCAAAGCUCAUAGGGAGUUUUCUUAAGAAUAGACCUUAAUAAAAUUCUAUUUAAAACAUAACAAGAAGUGUUAACCGCUUCGACCCAAAAGUAUUUUGGUAAAUUGUUUUCAUUUAGCAUGGUUCUAGCCAUUUCUUAAAGAGUUCUAUUUUUCCUUUCAACUACCCCAUUUUGUUGAGGAGUUCUAUGAGCUGAAAAAUUGUGGUUAAUACCAUGCUCAUUGCAAUAGUCUUCAAAAUCAAUAUUUUCAAAUUCUCUCCCAUGAUCACUUCUUAUACAAGUAAUUGUAAAACCUUUUUCAUUUUGAACCUUGUUGCAAAACUUUGAAAAAUCAUAAAAGGCUUCAUUCUCUUGACUUAAAAAUAAGACCCAAGUAUAUCUAGAGAAUUCAUCCACAAUAAUAAAAGCAUAAGAUUUUCCUCCAAGGCUUGGUGUCCUAGAGGGACCAAAUAAAUCCAUAUGUACAAUUGAAGAGGCCUAGUUGUUGAAAGGAAAUUUUUGUUUUUAAAAGAGUUUUUGAUUUGCUUUCCCAUUUGACAAGCUUCACAAACUUUGUCUUUUUGAAAAUUUAUUUUGGGAAGACUUCUAACAAGUUCAUCUUUGUUGAGUUGGGAAAUGAGGUUCAUGUUAGCAUGUCCCAACCUCCUGUGCCACAACCAACUUUGAUUAUGCAUGCUUGAAAAGCAUCUAUCAUGGCCAUCAUAUUUUGAAAUAUUUAUUGCAUAAACAUUAUCACAUCUAUGGCCCAUGAAGAUGGUUUUAUCAUUUUGAAUAUCUUUGAUGAUGCAAUGAGAUGCUUUAAAAAUCACUUUAAAACUUUUGUCACAAAGUUGACUUAUGCUCAAAAGAUUAUGUUUUAAACCAUCCACUAAUAAAACACUUUCAAUAAGAGAGGGUGUGGCAUUACCAAUGUUGCCUUGACCAAUGAUCCUUUCUUUUGAAUUGUCUCCAAAUGUAACGUAUCCUACAUUUUUCUUUGUAAAGAAAGCAAACUUGGAUUCAUCCCCGGUCAUGUGUCUUGAGCAUCCACUAUCCAAGAACCACUUAUCCUUCUUUGAUCCCUACAAAAUAAAAUUUAAGUUGAUUUAGGUACCCAUAUCUUUUUGGGUCAUUGAGGGUUAGUGACCUUGGAUUUCUCAACCCAAACCUUUUUAGCUUUAGCAUUUGAAUUCUUUUGAGAAUCAUUUCUUAAGGGACAUGUACUACUAAUGUGUCAUCCUCUUCCACAAAAGUUGCAAGUGGUAGAAGGACUUGCACUUGUGGAUUCUUUUACAAAGUAGUUUUUAAAAUACUUUUGAUUUUUUGAAGAUUUGAAUCCUAGCCCUUGUUUGUCAAAGACACAUUUUUGGCUAGCUAAGAUCAUUUCAAAAGAUUUUUGUCCAUAAGAGAAAAUUGAAAGAGAGGAGGUCAACCAUUCAUUUUUCUUUUUCAAAAUCUCAUUUUCACUUCUCAAAAUCUCAUUUUCUUUUUCAAGAUGGGUUUUAGAUAUUUCAACAAUUGAAAAUUUUUCUUUGACUUCUUCAAGUUCCUUUUCAAGUUCUUGAAUUUUCUUUUUAAGAGAAUUAUUUUUCAAACUAAGUUUUUCAAAAUCCUCAUAUAAUUCUUCAAAAACAUCAUGCAUAUCUUCAUCACUAAAGAUAGAGUUUACCUCAUCAAGAUCAUCUAUUGCCAUGAAACACAUGUUUGCCACUUCCUUCUACUUUUCUUCUUCGGAGGAUUCUUCACUUUGACUCCAAGUGGCCAUCAUUGCCUUCUUCAUUCUUCUAUUGGCUUCACUCUUGUAGAAAGGACAAUCAUAUUUAAUGUGUCCCGGUUUUUUUGCACUUGAAGCUUAUCAAAUCUCUUUUCUCUUCCCAUUUCUCCUUAUCACCAUGGGAUGAAUAUUCCUUUUUAGAAGGAUAUCUUUUAGAGGUGAACUUCCUUCCUCUAAACCUUUCACCUCUCAUGUAUUUGUUGAGCUUUCUUGUGAUGAGGGCUAAAUCAUCAUCUUCAUCACUUGGUUUUUCUUCUUCAACAUCUUCUUCUUCCUUGGUUGUAGCUUUGAGGGUUAUGUUCUUUUUUUUGUCUGCACCCUCUUGUAUCUUCUUUGUCAAAUUUAUCUCAUAUGUCAUUAAUGACCCUAUGAGCUCUUCCAUAGGUAUCUUAGUCAAAUCUUUUGUUUCUUGAAUAGCGGUGACCUUGGUAUGCCACUUUGAUGGGAGAGACCUCAAUAUCUUCAUCACCUUCUCAGAUUCCUUGUAGGUUUUUCCCAAAGCUUCAAGGCCAUUGACAAUGUCGGUGAACCUAGUACUCAUCUCAACAAUAGUCUCAUUUUCUUUCAUUGAAAACAAUUCAUAGUUAUGAACAAGUAAAUUGAUUUUUGACUCUUUCACUUGAUUAGUUCCUUCAUGAGUUAUUUCAAGCAACCUCCAAAUUUCUUUAGCCGAUUUGCAUUGACAUAUUCUAUUAUAUUCAUUUCUAUCCAUAGAACAUUGCAAAGUAAAAACGGCUUUAGCAUUUAAUUGAAAGUUUCUUCUAUCAAGCUCAUUCCAUUCUUACUUAGGUUUUGGAACCAAAACUCCAUCAACUAGUUUAGUGAGAAAAGUUGGGACAUUUUCAAUGACAUCCCAUACAUCUAAAUCAGUAGAUUGCAAAUACCAAGUCAUUCUAGUUUUCCAAUAGGAAUAGUCGAUUCCCGUAAAGAAUGGAGCUCUAUGUUUUGAAAAAAAUUCAGUUUGGGAUGAGCUUGAUGGAAUAGCCAUUUUCUCUUAGACGAUUAAGUCUUUAAAAAACAAGAGGUCUAGCUCUGAUACCAAUUGAGAAAACAAAGGUCAUGCCUAAUUAAGAAAAACACCCAAAAUUGGGAGGGGGAGGGGAGGUGGGUGAAUUGGGUUUUUAAAAACUUUUCAAUCACAACAAAUUCAAACACAAUAUAAGAAAAAUAAAGAGAUAGAGUUAGAGAAUUCAAACUUGGGUUUAUAGUGGUUCGACACUUCCUUGCUUACGUCCACUCUCCUUAAUCUCCUAACCGAGUGAGGGUUCCACUAACUUGAAGCUUCAAUCAAGCUUCCAAUCUUCUUACACUUGGAUUCUGGCUCCAAUGGGCUCUUACACAAUCUCUUUAAGAUUCAAACCUCUUGAAGGUUUUAACACUCAGAUUUUUACAAGAAAUAAUCCCUCAACCUAGCUUAAGGAUAGCUCAAAUACAAGACAAAGCUAGCAUGACACACAAGAGUGCACUAAAAGAUAUGCAAGUGGUGAUUUAAUGCACUAUGAAGGAAAUGAGAGCUUUUUUUAUCAAGAACAGGUAGGUAGACUAUUGAAUGCAAGUGUUAUCUUGUCAAUAAAUGAAGUGGAGCCCUCAAUUUAUAGGUUUCUAAGUUCGGGAGUCAAAAACAGCAAAAGGUAACCUCGUCUGAUCGAGCUAAGGGUCGACCGGUUCACUAGCCGUUAGAGCAUUUAAUGCUUGACAAGUUACUGUUGCCUCGACCGAUCCUCGACCGGGAAAAGAAUCACCUUGACCGGGAAGAGAAUCACCUAGACCGGGAAGAGAAGGCCACUGGGAGCGAGAGAAAGUUUUUGGCAUCCCUCGACCGGUUAUCGACCGGUCCUCGACCGGACAAGGUCAACCGGUCGACCGGUUCCUCAACUGGUUAAGCCAGUUGGCCAUAGCCUUGACCGGUUGAGCCUUUUUGGCCCCGAAAACCUAUUUUUUUUAAUUCCUUUCUUUUCUAACACUUAGGCAAGGUCUUUAGGUGAAUUAUUAAGCCAAUUAUAAAACAUUUUUCCUAAGGUACAUUAGUUAAAAACUCAGGUUUUAAUGAAAUCAAAGUUUUAAAGAAUAAACUGAGUUUUCUAAGUUGCAUGAAACGUGUGAAAAUCCUAAGUGCACUCAUGCAUUCAUCUUACAUUAGUUUCCUAUGAUCGCAAGUCUUCCAAGCGUCUUGAUCUUGUAUCCAUUUGGUCAUUUGAUGAAUUUUCGAGUUUAUGCCUGAGAUUCUUAAUCUUUAAACCAAUUAGUCACUUAACCAUGGUUUGUUAUCAUCAAAACCAAAUUAAGAGAACCCUUGGGCUAACAAUGAAGAUAGACUUUACUAUCCCUUUGUUGUCCCUUUUAUUCAUUGAUAUUUAUUUGACCAUUCAAACUCAUAUUCCUUCCAUUGUAUAUGACUUGGGUGCAUUAGGAGUUGAAUAAAUGAUACAAGUCAUGGGUUCCUUGCAAGGUGAUAAGUUGUUCAUAAUCAAUUUAUGGAUUUGGGUAAUCUAGUAGAGAUUGUAAUGUAUUAUCUCCUAAUUGGAAGGAUGACUUAUCUUAACCAUCAUGAUAAGUUUCCCAUGGUGAGUGCACUAGUGUGUAUGGUUACACAUCGGACAUGAUCUACAGUGAAUCAUGAACUAAGGCUAUUGGGUUGUUAUGAUUCAUCGAGCCAAUUUGUUGUAUGGACUCUCAACCUUGAGAGGAUAUUGAGUUUGUGCUAAAAUUAAUAGAAAGUUCUGACCUAUGGGUGAGACUAUGGUCAUACAUUUCUACAAAUUGACUCAUUGUUGAUAGAGGAUGGUAACAAUAGACAUUUUUAAUAGAGCCACCCUGAUAUCUCAUGGGAUUGAGACAACAUAUCCCAUUGUGUGAUCUAAAGGACAUGUGAUCAUGAAAUAUGUUAUCGCAAUAAGUCAUUUAGUGGAAUUUGACAUGUACUUUUUAAAGGUAGAGUAUGUUAAUUGAUCACAUAAUAGGAGAAUUUGUAACUUCAAGAUUGAAAAGGUAAUCUUGAUGGGUUAAUAACACUACCCUGUUAGAUUAUGGAUAUCAAUUCAUAGAAAGUUUGCAUGUAAUGAAUAGUAGGUCAUAGACUCGAGCUUUAUUUUGUUGGAAUUUCAUAGGAUAUUGGAGUGUAGUUGACUUCUUUUUAGUAAAGUGUUGAGUUAACUUUAUAAUUGGAUUUUGAGAAAGCUAACAUUUUCCUAUAGGUUCCAAUGGUCCUUGCUCGAGCUCCUAUUUCAUGGUGACACAUUUGAGAGUAUUUUGGGUAUAUAGUUCAUAAGUAUACAUAAAUGUGCUUUGGUAAAAACACAAGGUUGCACUAAAUCUUAUGAAUUGACUUUCUUAAAUGGGUUAAUUAAUUAAUUGGAGCUCAUUAGGGACAAUUAAUUAAUUCGAACCUAAGUGGGUUAGAUUAGGUGUUCCAAACCCAAUUUGAACUCAAGCCACUUAAGCCCAUAGGAAAGCCUAUAUAAACCCUAGGGUUUCGGUUUUCCUAUUCAAUUUUCUAAAAUUCCAAGAAGAAGAACCAUAGCCACCCUCAAAGAGAGAGAAAGAACUUAACCUUCUCUUGUGUCAGGAUUCGUGGAGGGAGAAAUUGUUAGGAUAAAACCCUUAAAAGCAUGAUAUGAUGUAACAAAUUUUAUUUAUUAUAUGAUAUUUUAGUUUUACUUUUAUUUAUCUUUGUUUUAUGCAUUACACUUUAUAAGUAUUCUCGUUAAGCAUCUCUUACAUUAUACAUGAUUUAAGUGCAUUAGAAGUUUUAUAGAAUAUCCAAGUCAUGGAUUUCUUACAAAUAGAUGAUUUGUUCACAACCAAUUCAUGGACUUAGGUAAUCCAUUUGAGGUUGUAUUGCACUACCUUCUAAUUUGACAGAUGAUUGAUCUUGGCCAUCGAGAUAAAUUUUCCAUAGUAAAUGCAAUAGUGUGUAUGACAUCUCAAGGGAGACAAAGUGUCUCAUUGAGUGAUCCUAAAGAGGUAUGUUCAUGAAAACUAUGACCAUAAUAGUUUCUUAAGUGGAACUUGAUAUUAGCUCUUAGAGAUUAAGACAUGUCAAUUGAAUAUAUAAUAAGAGGAUUUGUAACUCAAAGAUGGUAAAGGUAGUCUUGAAAGGCUAAUGGUUUUCACUUUGUUAGGCCACAACACCAACUCAUAGGGGAAUGAACGCAAUGGAUAAUAAGUCAUAGACCGGAGCACAUAGUGUUUCAUUGUUAUUUAACAUAGAAUACUUGAGUUCAAUUAAUUCUUUGUAGUAAGAUGUUGAGUCAACUUUAAAAUUAAAUUUUGAGAGAAUCAAUAAUCCUGUGGGUCCUAGUGGUCCCCAUUUUGAGUUCAUAUGCCUUGUUGGCAUGGGUUAUGAGAGUUGGAUUGGCUCUAGAUUCACUUUUAUCUAAUGUUCGUAUAGUAGCAUUACAACCCCUUUAUGGCUCUAUAGCAAGAAAUUUUAUAUUCUGUUAUAGAAAGCCCCUCACAUAAAUUACUUUAUAUGGGUAAAUAAUAAUUUGUCCUUGGGGAUCUGAUAUUAAUCCUCUCAUACCUACUAAUUGGUGUACCUAAGAUGCAUUUCCUUUAGUUCCUGAAAAAGACAUUAUAUGGACUAGAUUAAAUGGGCCAGUCAUCUUAAAAUUAGUAUUCAUUUCUUGUCACAAAUAUUCACUUAACACAUAUUAGAUCUCAAUAAAGUGAAAAAAAAAAGACAAAAAGAAAGAAAAAAAAAGGAAUAAUAUUCCAAAAGGUGUUGUUCGUGGAUCAUCUUCGAGAGAGUUAGGAUAUAAUGGUACUGAGCUUUCUCGUUCACAAGAGAUAGGGGUAGUCUUAACUGGUAUUGCUUGCAUUGACAAGGACAAUUGAUUACUACCAAAAAGUGCUAUUUUGUAGACCUAAUUAUAAUGGUUUUAAGCACCUUUGAGUAGUAAUCAUAUUCAUUUAACCCAAUUAAUUCAUUAAGGUCCUUAGUAAUUGGUUUUAACCAUUUUGUGGCAAGUUUACAUGUUUUUAUCAGCUUAUGAAUCAAUUCAAGCAUGCCAAAUGAUGGAGGAGCUACUUGGACAAGUUAUGGCAAAGCUUUUGGAAGCUCAAAUUCAUGAAGAACCAAGCUUUGGAGCUUCAUAGCCCUUUGCCAAAGUCGUUCAAAGUAUGCAAGGAAAGAACAAUGGAGAAGAGGAAAACAGAGGACAGCAUCUGCAGUCUUCUUUCGCACUUUUGGAGCACUUCCCGAAGUCCAUUUUUUACAUACUAUAUACCAUUUCAAAGCUCUGGAAGUCAAGAAUCCAACGCUUCAAACCGUGCACGAUUUGGAGUUGAAAUGAGGAAGAUAUGGCCUUCGGAAGCCAACUGCUCCAGGUUAUGCGAAAAUUUCGCAUUCCACAAGGUGUUAUGCGAAAUUCGCAUAACACCUUCAAAAUUCGCAUAACCCAUGCGUGUUGCGAAUUUUCCUCUGCCUUUGCCGACUCCACUUUAGAUAUUUUCCUUUGUAUUUUGUGAUGUAAUUUCCUUUCUUAUCCUUGUAACUAACCAAUCACAAGCUUUUGCUUUUGCUUUUGUAAAGACUUUAUAAGGGGUGGAAAUCACCUCUUGAAGAAUAUAGAACAUAGGUUACGUUUUACACUUAAAAUAUACAGAGCUCUCCCGUUUCUAUUUUCUUAGUAGCCAAACAGCCUCUAAGGGCUUUUCCUCAGAGGAUGAUUGGCUAAAACUUUUAGUUUCUCAAAGUAUGGAUGUUAUGUGAUGGCUUGGAUGCAAUCCCAUGGAAAUUUCUCGCGCUCGGAAGGUAAGGUAGUCAUUUUUCAUUAAAGGUUCAUUAAUGCAAAGUUUGGUUUUUAUUUCCUUUGGACAACUUCCAACGGCCAAUACUUGAUAAGCUUUUGGAUUUCUAUCCAUUAGUUAUCUCCUACGAGCUAUUGGAAGGUGAGGUUUUCAAUUCCAAGUUUUUCAUUAAUCCGUUAAAACCAAUUUCAAUGGCCAUUGAAAGGUGAGUUUAUCACCUAAAAUGACUUUGAGUUGCCAAUAUUUGGUAAGCUUUUGGCUUUAGACCAUUAGUUAUCUCUUACGAGCCAUUCAAAGGAAGUCUAAGGCGAAUAACCAUUGAUGAAAUUCACUACCAUCUGUUUUGCCAUUUUAAAGGAUUAAAACUUGAUUUGCUAAAUCCAUACUAGUUCGGGAAGCAAGCAUCACCAUAGUUACAACCCCAACGCGAGGAGCCUAUCCUGAGAUUUCCAAUUUGCAUAAGAGCCAGAGCAUAGCUAUCUUAUCUUUGAGAAACUUGUUUUUACACCCUUUCAUUUUAGUCUUUAAUGUUAGCUUAGAUUAGUUUAAAUCUUUCUAAAACAUUUACAUCUUCUUUUAAAGCUAACAUCCAUAAAGAAAAUCACCUAUUUUCCUAAUUUGAAUAUCACUAGUGUUUGCGAAAACCCUUCCCAGUGAACGAUCCUAGAACCACUAUGCUAUAGUAGCUUGGCUACUUUAGUAAUAGUAUUUAAGGUAUAAAUUUUGUUGAUACGCCUUUAAAGCUAAGCUACCAUGAGUCGAAUCAACAAUCUUUAUCUUGUCACUAGGGAAGCUAUGGUUGACGCUACAAAAAGUGUUGGGUUUGCUCAGUGAUUGUAUCAACACUUAUCAAGUGUUAGUGAUGAAUAAUCCACAAUGCUCUUUCUUUAACGGAUUGCUUAAUGGGAUGCCAAUGAGGAUUUUGGUUUGGAAUUGUAAAGAAACGAGAAAUGAGGAUUUUCUCGGGGUGAUUAGAGACCUCAUCUAUGUGCAUGACCUGGUGAUCCUAGUGUUGGUUGAGACUAGAAUAAGUGGUGAGUGGUUUAAAAUGCUCUUAGUUAAUUCAAAAGAUUAAGUGAGAGAAGAGCCCUAGGUAAGCCCACGGUCUCCAUGGUUGAAUCCAUCUUAAUUUGGGUUCAUCACCACCCGACUAGUGGGUUGUACCCUAAGAAUCAAGGGAUAUGGACAAGACUACAUAUGUCUAUAGUGGGAGCAACCAACCCUAUGGUGAGGUUCAUUACUUAAUGACAUUGAUAGUUCAACAACAAUGAUUAUACACUUAACAUUGGAUAUGAAGUGGUUGAAUCAUCCAUCACGGUCCCAUUUGCAUAGUUUAUGAGCCAAAGGUAUGUUGAUCUUGCCUUAGAUACCUUUCAUGAUUAAAUUAAAGUAAGGAAAUCAAUCUGAGAGGGUCAACUACUAGUAAUAAGGUUACUUGCUUUGAUUUUUCUAAUAAGAAGAUACAUUACAAAAAGAUCUAUAGUCCUAAGAGCUUUACAUUUUUAAUAAAUUAUGUUUGCCUUGAAUGCUCAAUUAUGUUAUACUUAUUGUUGUUUUCUUUGUUAUAGAUAUCAUACACUUUGUUUUCUUAUCACUCUCUUUCUCACUUUGGACUAAGCCUAACCGAUCAUUUGGAUUAAAAAUAAUUUAAGUAGAGUUAGUUAUUCCUUAAUUGAGCUAAUGCUAAGGUUUUUAGUGGCACUAACCUGUGAGUGAAACCUUAAGGUUGUCACAUAUUCUAUAUGUAUUAGGUCAUUAUUGAUUAAGGCAAGUGAUAACAAGUAUUCUUAAGAUAGACACCAUGAUAUCUUAUGGGUUUGAGGCAAUGCGUCUCCUUGUGUAAUCCUAUGAAUAUAUGAUCAAGAAAACGAUGACUAUAAUAUUUGCUUUAUUGAAAUUUGACAUAUGCUUUUAAAGAGGAGUAUGUCAAUUAAUCACAUAAUAGGAGGAUAUGAGACUCAAGGAUUGUUGAUGUAAUCUUGAGAGGCUAAUAGCAUUCACCUCAUUAGAUUACAAACACCACUUCAUUAAGAUCUUACAUACAAUGGUUAGUGGGUCACAAAUUCGAGUUUCAUAUUUUAAGUUAAUAUCAUGGAAUACUAAAGUGUGGUUAAUUCUAUAUAGUAGGAUGUUGAGUUAACUUCAAAAUUGGAUUUUAAGGAGCAAAUAUUUUCCUUUAGGUUCUAGUGGUCCUUUUUUCGUACUCAUGUUUCUUGGUGGCAUAUUAUUUAAGAGAUAUUUGGGUUUUUUAUUCAUAAAAAUGCAUAAAGGUAUUUUGAUAAAUACAUAAGAGCUUAUAAGUGGUCUUUUAAGAUUAAGUUAAUUAAUUAAUUAGAACUCGGUCAGGCUAAGUAAUUAAUUAUGAUCUACUAUGUUAGAUUAAGUAACCCAACCCCAAGAUGACCUCAAGUCUCUUAAGCCCAUAAAUGAGUCUAUAUAACCUCCUUGAUCAGACAUACUCUUGUAUAUUUGUCAUUCAUUCUUCUAGAGAGAAAGGAACCCUAACCUCCAUCCCUAUGAAGAAGAUUUCACCUUCCUCACAUGCCAAGAUCCAAGAGAGAGAGAGAGAGAGAGAGAGAGAGUCAUUAGGUAGAAGAUCGCAAGUCUUCAAAAUCCACACCAACCUCUUCACUCUAGAAUCAAUUUGAGAACAUCCAAAUUGCAGGUAUUGCUUUCAUACUCAUGAUUCUUUAGUUUUUUUACAUGUAUAUGCUUCCAUUGUGCAAAUGCAGAGAUCCUUAAUUUUGCAUGCACUCUAAUAAUCUAAGGCAUGAAUGAUUUUUUUCUAGUCAUUCCUACACAUUGCUAAUUUUAUUGGACUAAUGUGGCAUAGAUCAUGUUAGAAGAUGUCUCAUCACACAAUUUUCUAGGUAAUGAUGCUAAAUAGACAGUGGAAUAUUGAUUUGACUUCUCCAUCAAUGGAUUAGACCUAAAUGAUACUCUUUCACUUAGUUUAUUGAUUUGAACUCAAGAAAUAGAAACCAAUUGUAAUAUUCACUCCCUAAUUAGAAUCUAUUAUAGUGGCCUACGUAGCUUUCGCCAUCUAAGCUCCUAUGAUUCCCAUGAUAAGAUUCUAUAUAUUUUUGCAAUAAAAGUCAUCUUUCUUAAUUGCCUUAUUUCUUUUAGUAUGUCGAAACUAAUUUUCAUUUUAAAAAUCUUAUUUUUAAGAAUAGUUCUUUCCUAACUAAUUUUCUCAUAUUAGGAUACUUAUUUCAUUAAUUGUUACAAAGAAAAUGAGAAAAAAGGUUGAAUUUGAAAAUGGCAAUUUAAUCACAACAAAAGCAAAUAAGAGGCUCACAUCCUUCCGCAAAUGUUAAUUUUCCGAAUCUAAUGACAAACUACAAGAGCAACACCUCUGCUUUAUCCCCAUUCAACAUAGAGGUGUCCAAUGGGCCAAGCCGCCCACUUUGGCUCAUGGCCUGACACGCCAAAAGACUAGGUCGAGCCGACACGACCCAAAGGAGCGGGUUGUGUUGGGCCAAAGGAAACAGCAUAUUGGCCUACUGUGCGACCCACCUAGCCUUUUUAAAUUUCACUUUUUACUUUUUACUUUUUCCUUUUUAUUGCAUGUCAAAUAUCUAUAAUACCCCUCUCAACAACUAUAACAAGUUUGAGGGGUAAAAAAGUAAAUCAAUAGCUAUUUUUACUUUUUUCAUGUCAAAUUAUUAUUUUUUAUAUUUCAUUUCCUUUUAUAUUCUAUUAUUUUAAAUUUAUUGUUAUUUUGAUUAAAAAAAUAAACAAAUUCAAAUGUAUAUUUUUUUUACUAUUUUUAAAAACAAAAAACUAACAUUUCUAUAAAUUUUACAAUUACAAACUCGAUAAAUAUAAAUAUAAAUAUAAAAAAUAAAAAGUAUAAUUAUUAGAGGUGUUUAAAGUAACAAAAAGAAAUUUUAUUUAAUAAUGAAAAAAACAUAAGACAAAAUGACUUAAAAAAAUUAAAUUAAAAUUUUUAACAAAGUGAGUGACCCAUGAGCCACGAGCCGCCAGCAUGACAUAAUUACUCCACAGGCUUAUGGGUCAUGCCGGGCCACCUAUUUAGCAUGCAUGGGCCGGCCCGGCCCGGCACAAUUUUAAAGUGGGUUGUGCUGACCUGACGCAUUGGCCCGUUAUGGCCCGGUGGCCGGCACGGCCCAUUGGACACCUCUAAAUUUCAACAUAGUGGCUUGCAUACACAGUCAGUGAUACACAGCCAGUGAAUUUUUUGGUAAAAUUUUUUUAAGCCUUCAGGUACUAGAGAUUGAAUAGAACAUUCAAACUACAACAAGGAUAAAUAUUAUAAAUAGAAGAUUUACAGCCAGGUAUAAAGAGCAUAACUAGAAAGCGGAUAAAACAAAAAGAAAGUACCCCACAAAACAGUGACAACUGAUGGGUUUGAGAAGGAAAAAGGGGAGCCUCUUCCCAAUCCCAAGCUAAUCUCUGUAUUGCUAAUCAUCUCCACUGCACAAAAGAAUAUUAUUUAAUUAAAAAAAAAAAAAAAUACAAGGCAUUAGCCCCAGACCGGUGUAUUCCUUCCAUACUAUGUUGCUGCUCCUAAAAGAGCAGUUCCCGAUCCAUUGCCGCUAUCAAGAAAGCUGCUAGAUUCAGGCUGUGAAAGAGAGACAGAGGGGGGUAGGGAGAUGUUCAGUCCAUAAGAAUACAGUAUUAAUAUUAAAUAAGAUUAUGCUUGCUACAAACUAAAAAUAAUGUCAAAAUUUAGCGAUAAACUUUAUGAUUUUUCUAGGGAUAUCAAAAGCCAAAACACAUUGCGUCCCCAACUGCACAGCUUCUUUGACAGGGGCAUGCAACCUUUUAAAUGGAAAAAUUUCCUAGACAUGGCCCCAAGACUAAGUUUAUGUCUAUCAAGACAGUAUAAUGGGUUUAUUGGUUUUAGGCACAGGGGCAGAAUAUGGGAGAUCCAAUUCAAGUAAUUGUUUCUGUCACAUGAAGGACUAUUGUUAUAGAAAGUACAAAUUUGGGAAGGUUAGGGGAAGUUAUACAAGAUAUGCGAAAAACUCUGAAAGUGAAAAUCAUCGACCAACAACAUUGUAAUCACAAAGUAUCAAAACUUUAGGAAGCAUUUGCUUUGUGGGAAUAGAGAAUGAAAAUAGGAAAUGCAUUCAAUUUCCCAUUCAUUAUUGUGUUUAGAUUCAAAUUCAUUCAAUUUCUUAUUCAUUAGUGUUUGGAUUCCUUAUGAGAAAUGGAAAUAGGAAUAAAAACUCAUUAUCAUGGAAACCAAAAGCCACUAUUUCUAUUUUGAUUCCUCUCUUCCUCAUGGUACAGUUAUUCACCUCCAUUUCAUUUUGUACUCCUAUUUCUAUUCAUGUGUACCAAAUGCACUCUAAAUGGUAAAGGUUCAAUUGAAAAAAAUUUCAUUCCAUCCUCUCAAAUAUUGAAAUAAUGUCUAUACGUGGUCCAACUUUCAAAUUGUUUGUAACUGUACCUCUUUCUCAUGGACUUUUGAAAGGAAAAAUGGCUCUGUCUCCCGAAUCCCACCAUUCUCUUCAACAAUUCUUUCUAAAUCCUGCUAAUGUGAUGAAAAGUUAAAUAUAAUAAUAACAUUAUGCUAUUUGAAAGUCUUCUAAUUCCUGGAAACACAAUAACCAAGUCAAAAAGGUAUUAUACCAAUUAAAACCCAGGCACAAAGUUUUACUACCAAAUGCAAGAUAACUACAAGAUUCAUGAACUGGAGAUUACACAUGCAAACAAGGUUUACCAGAACAACCAACAACAAAAAGUGCUAGAACACCGCAAUGAAUGAUGUAGAUAAUCAUCUACAUAAAUAAAUGUUAUAAUGGCAAUGCAUAUAUAAAUCCACAAGCAAUGAUGACAAUAGUGUAUUUUACCUGGACUCUACCAACUUCACUCAAUGCAUCUAUGUUGACACAACAUGACAUUGUGUGCAUCUGCAUCUCAACCAUUCUAAUCUAACUAGGUUGGGAUUUAAUUGGAAUUUGUUUCUUUUUUUGUACAGUUGAUUCACUUUUGAUUUAUUUCCUGCAAUUAGGACUGAUUUAGAAGAGUAAUUCUGGGCUUAGAAUAGAUUGAUUGCCUUUUCUCUUUUCCUUUCUAAAACAUUAUAAAUAGGUUGUAAAUAUAUCCAUGAAUAUACACGUAUUAUUCAGAAAUCGUUAUCCAUUUUCAAGUUCUUAUGAAAGAUAACUUUGCUUGAUUUCUAAUUGAUUUUUCUUUUUCUUCCUUCUUUUCUUUUAUUUUGUUGUAUUCAAUGUCCAUAACCAUUAUGAGAUCCUUUUUAGCUAAGUCUCAUAUCCUAAAAUUUGUAGAUGUGAAGGAUCAGACAAUUAGUCAUAUACCCAUACUUGACACCACACUCGAGCCCAUGCAAUAGAUAAUAAUAAUAAAAUGCAUGAUCCAAACACAAGCAUAGGAACCAUUCCACCCAUAUCUAAAUGGUGAGGGAAGGCAUGCUAAACAAUGUCCCAUUUAGUUGCCCGCGUGUCCAAGCAUUCACUACCAUAUAUAACAUGGCAUGCAAUAGUAAAUUAGAUGAUAGUGUAAUCAAUGACUACCUAUCAAACAUUAAGCAAACAAUUUUCUGCAUAGAAGAAAACACUGAUGAGAACUUCAUAAUGUGAAACCUAUUUCUACCAUGACAAAAACAAGCACAACAAAAAUGAAAAAGGUGAAGACUUAAUUAUGUUAUGCACAUGAAUUAGUUAAAUCUGAAGAAGACUAUCAACAAUUGACCAAUAUUUGAUCACAAUCUUUUCUUUGUUUUUUUUCUUUGAUAUGCAAUUAGAAAUCUAUAAACAAUGCCUAGCAAAAAAAGGGAUGCACCCCAUGCACACUGGAAAUAUAAAAUGGGAACCACAAGCUUACAAAAUAAGGAAUUUCUUUAUCUUAUAAGUCCAGGAAAACAUUCACAAUUCACCACUUUCAAUACAUUUCUAAAACAACAAAAUAACAGGGUAGCAAUUACAACAUUGAUUACAAACCCAUGUGAUUCUACUCUUCACAUCAGCUCCAAAACAUUCACAAUUGAUCGUCGUCAAUUCAUUUCAAAGACAACAAAAUUACCGGGGUAGUGAUUACGACAUUAAUCACAAAUUAAAGAGUGUGUUGAGGCAAGGCUCCUAGAGAGCGUGUAUGGGUGUUAGACGAUACACAUGCAUACAUAUACAGAGGACAAGAGAUAGAAGAUACUUUUCCCCUGAAGUGAGUGUGGACAGUUUGAUUUAUUUCUGUUGAAUAUAAUGUAUUUAUAGUGUACAAUCUUUCUUUCCUUUCUUAAUAUAGGUCACAUAUAUGGUAGUUAGUUCAACCUAGCCUUAUAUAUAUAUUUCUCUAUUGUAAGAAGUUAAUUAUAUGAAUGAGAAUUAAGGUUUUCUCUCUCUCUCUUUCAACAUGGUAUCAGAGUCAAGGGAGAAAACUUUAUUCUUUCUGGUUUACCCGUGUAAUUAAUUCCGGGAAUCCAUCCAGUGACCGUGUUUCAUUCCGGUCACCUUUUCCAUCUCCCAAAACUUUCCGGUCAACCAUAUCGUGGACAGAAAACCCUCAUCACCGUCAACAUUUUUCCGGCAAUAUUUUCCAGAGACUUUCCCGGGCUCUUUUUUUUCCCAACGAUAUUUUCCGACACCGACCACAUCAUCAGGAGCGCAAAGAGGAGAUAUGCAACUUUUCUCAAAGCACCGGAGCCAAAAACCAAUCCACGCGCCUUCCACGUGCCUUUUUUCUCCGGAGGCCUGAAUCCCACGCGUCGGCGCAUGAGGGCGCGUGGCCCACUUUCUAGUGCCGAGCUUCUACUAGUAGGCUCAUCCGGCGCCGUCUUGCACUUCUAAGCCUCUGUCAGUCCUCUCUGAACCCUGCUUCUCCAUUUUAUUUUUUUGUUGGCAUUUCAAUCUCCAUGGGUCUUCUUUCAGCCUCCUCCGGCCUCCAACGGCAGCUCCCUUCCUUGGCCGAGACCUGUGUGUGCCUUAGGAAGGCCUCUUCUUCAUCUCCAGUCACUUUUCUCCUUUGUUUGGGUCCCGACAUACCAAGUUCUUCUUCCACAGCUGUGAUCCGACCUCCCUUUAGGGCUCUCUUCGAUCCAAACGUGAUUCAAUCUCAGGUGAAGUGGAUAUGGUGACUAAAAAUCCUAUUUUUACAUCCGUCAUCUCUGGAUCUCCUACUAUCACAUCGGAAAAAUUGAUUGGUAGUGAGAAUUAUCUCUCCUAGUCAGCGUCCGUGGAACUCUGGUUUAUGGGAUAAGGUUAUGAGGAUCAUCUUGUUACACCUAAGAAUGCUAUACCUGAUGUUGACAAAGUGCAAUGGAAGAAAAUCAAUGCACAAUUAUGCAGCGUAUUAUGCCAAUCUGUUGAUCCCAAAAUUUUACAUCAUCUUCGUGCCUACAAAACCUGCUUUAAAUUUUGGACUCCGGCUAAAAGGAUUAUACACGAAUGAUAUUCAACGAUUUUAUAAGGUGGUUUCUGAUAUUGUUCAUGUGAGACAGCAGGACAUGGAUUUGUCUACUUAUAUUGGCCGGAUUGCGUCUCUUAAGGAGGAGUUCUUAACUUUGAUGCCCUUCACUAAUGGUGCCGAAGCUCAACAAAUACAGAUUGACAAGUUCUUUAUGCUGUUAACCCUCAUUGGCCUCCGUCCAGAUCUUGAGUCUGUCCGAAAUCAGAUUCUUGCUAGUCCAUCAAUACCAUCACUAGAUGAUGUGUUCGCUCAUCUCUUAGGCCUCUCCUCUACUCAGACCUUGUCGACUGAUGACCCUUCAGAUUCAUCUGUGUUAGCCUCUCAAACUAACUCUCAAGGAGGACGUAGUAGCAAUCGGGGUUGUGGACAACAUCCUCAAUGCACCUAUUGUAAUAAGCUUGGUCACACUCGAGAUCGUUGCUAUCAGUUACAUGGACGGCCUCCUCACACUGCCCACAUUGCUCAGUCAUCUGAUCCUCUGCUAUCUCAACCUGACUCCGCUGCGAGCUCCACAUAUCAGAGUAUCACCCUUACUGGUAGUGAUUAUGAUGCCUAUCUCCAAUAUCAGGCAGCCACAUCAGCUUCUAUUGCUUCUGUUGCCCAGACCAGUAAUGUCUCUAUCUGCUUUACUCAGUCUCCUUCUCUUGGCCCAUGGAUUCUAGAUUCUGGAGCAUUUGAUCAUAUCUUUGGUAAUAAACACCUUUUCUCCUCUAUUACUACUACAUCUGCCUUACCUACUGUUACUUUAGCUAAUGGUUCCCAAACUAUGGCUAAAGGUAUUGGUUUGGCUCAUCCUCUCCCUUCCCUACCUCUCCAUUCUGUCCUUUAUACCCUUGAGUGUCCUUUUAAUCUCAUUUCCAUUAGCAAAAUAACUCGCACUCUUAACUGUUCUAUCACUUUUUAUGAUAAAUCUGUGAUCUUGCAGGAUCGGAGUACGGGGAAGACGAUUGGCAUAGGGCGUGAGUCUCAAGGCCUCUAUCACCUCACAUCACCUUCAUCUCCUGCAGCUUGCAUUUCCACCGAUGCUCCUCUUCUCAUUCACAGUCGUCUGGGUCAUCCUAGUCUCUCCAAAUUCCAAAAGAUGGUCCCUCGUUUUUCCACUUUGUCGUCGCUUGCAUGUGAGUCGUGUCAGCUUGGGAAACAUACUCAUGUCUCGUUCCCCAAGCGUUUGAAUAAUCAGGCAAAGUCUCCUUUUGAACUUAUCCACACUGAUGUUAGGGGUCCGUGUCAGACCGUGUCUACUUCAGGAUUUCAGUAUUUUGUCACUUUCAUUGAUGACUAUUCAAGAUGUACUUGGCUAUUUUUAAUGAAAAAUCGAGCUGAGUUAUUCUCUAUUUUCCAGAAAUUUUAUGCUGAAAUCCAAACACAAUUCAAUGUUUCUAUUCGAGUGUUACGCAAUGACAAUGCUCAGGAAUAUUUUUCUACACCCUUUACUUCUUUUAUGUCCCAACAUGAGAUCCUCCAUCAGUCAUCUUGUGCUCAUACUCCUCAACAAAAUGGGGUUGCUAAACGUAAAAAUCGACAUCUUGUUGAGACAGCUUGUACCCUCCUUCUCCAUAGUCAUGUUCCUUUUCGUUUUUGGGGGGAUGUUGUUCUUACAGCCUAUUACUUGAUUAAUCGUAUGCCCUCAUCUAUAUUACAUGACCAAAUCCCUCAUUCCCUCAUUUUUCCUACCCAACCUCUUUAUUUCCUUUCUCCUUGUGUCUUUGGUUGUAUUUGUUUUGUUCAUACUCUCACACCUGGACAGGAUAAGCUCUCCGCCAAGGCUACGAAAUGCACCUUCUUAGGAUACCCUCGACUUCAGAAGGGCUAUCGUUGUUAUUCCCCCGACACUCAUCGUUAUUUUCUCUCCGCUGAUGUCACCUUCUUUGAGGACUCUCCAUUCUUCUCAUCCUUUGAAUCUCUUCCCAUUUCUGAAGUAUUGUCACUUCCCUAUAUAUUCCUCCCUUCAGAUGCGCUCUCUCGUCCUCUUCAGGUUUAUCAUCGUCGACAUCGUGUUGUUGCUCUUCCUCUCUCUUUAGCUGAGGUACCUAAUGACUCACCUUCUGUCCCACCGAUUUCUCCUACCCCAGCCCUAUCAUCUACUGACCAUUUGCCUAUUGCUCUUCGGAAAGGUAAUCGAUCUACUCGUAAUCCUCAUCCUAUUUAUAAUUUUUUGAGCUACCAUCGAUUAUCUUCAUCCUAUUCUACCUUUGUCCCUACUUUAUCCUUUGUUUCUCUUCCUAAGAGCACUAGUGAGGCACUUUCUCAUCCUGGGUGGCGACAGGCAAUGGUUGAUGAAAUGGCUGCUCUGCACUCCAAUGGCACAUGGGAUCUUGUUUCUUUACCUCCUGGUAAAUCUACAGUUGGAUGUCAUUGGGUCUACACUAUUAAAGUUGGUCCUGAUGGUCAGGUUGAUCGCCUUAAGGCCCGCUUGGUUGCUAAAGGUUAUACUUAGAUUUAUGGUUGUGACUAUGGUGACACCUUCUCUCCUAUUGCCAAGAUUGCUUCUGUUCGCUUAUUUCUAUCCAUGGCAGCUAUGUGUCAUUGGCCUCUUUAUUAGUUGGAUAUUAAGAAUGCCUUCCUUCAUGGUGAACUUCUCGAGGAAGUGUAUAUGGAGCAACCACCUGGUUUUGUUGCUCAGGGGGAGUCUGGUUUAUGGGACAAGGUUAUGAGGAUCAUCUUGUUACACCUGAGGAUGCUAUACCUGAUGUUGACAAAGUGCAAUGGAAGAAAAUCGAUGCACAAUUAUGCAGUGUAUUAUGGCAAUCUCUAUAUGGCUUGAAACAAUCUCCUCGGGCAUGGUUUGGGCGUUUUAGUUCAGUUGUUCAAGAGUUUGGAAUGCUUCGGAGUGAAGCAGAUCAUUCAGUUUUCUAUCAUCAUAACUCUUCGAGCCAGUGCAUCUAUUUGGUAGUUUAUGUGGAUGACAUUGUCAUUACAGGCAGUGAUCAGGAGGGUAUCCAAAGACUAAAGCAACACCUUUUCAACCACUUUCAAACCAAAGACUUGGUCAAACUCAAGUACUUUCUGGGACUUGAAAUAGCUCAAUCCAGUUCAGGUGUGGUUAUGUCACAAAGGAAGUAUGUCUUAGACAUCUUGGAAGAAACAGGUAUGUUAGAAUGUAAACCUGUUGACACUCCUAUGGAUCCAAAUGUCAAACUUGUACCAGGACAGGGGAAGCCUCUAAGAGAUCCUAGGAGAUAUUGACGACUUGCAGGUAAACUGAACUACCUCACCAUCACUCGGCCAGACAUCUCUUUUCCUGUGAGUGUGGUUUAGUCAAUUUCUACAGUCACCAUGUGACAACCAUUGGGAUGCUGUGAUCCGCAUUCUUCAAUAUAUUAAAGGAACACCAAGCCAAGGUAUGUUGUGUGAAGACAGGGGUCAUACCCAAAUUGUUGGUUACAUAGAUGUAGACUAGGCUGGUUCACCCUCAGAUAGGCGUUCCACCUCAGGGUAUUGUGUUUUUAUUGGAGGUAACUUAAUAUCCUGGAAGAGUAAGAAACAAGAUGUAGUGGCCAAAUCAAGCGCCGAAGCUAAGUACCGAGCUAUGACUUUGGCAACAUGUGAACUCAUAUGGUUGAGGCAACUCCUUCAGGAAUUGAGAUUUGAAAAAAAUGAACAGAUAAAGCUAGUCUGUGACAAUCAGGCCGCAUUACAUAUUGCAUCCAGUCCAGUCUUUCAUGAAAGGACCAAACAUAUUGACGUUGACUGUCACUUCAUUAGAGAGAAGAUCGCAUCAGGGUGUGUUGCUACAAGUUUUGUUAAUUCAAAUGAUCAACUAGCAGACAUCUUCACUAAAUCUCUCAGAGGUCCUAGGAUUAAAUGCAUUUGUAACAAGCUUGGUGCAUAUGACAUAUAUGCUCCAACUUGAGGGGGAGUGUUGAAUAUAAUGUAUUUAUAGUGUACAAUCUUUCUUUCAUUUCUUAAUAUAGGUCACAUAUAUGGUAGUUAGUUCAACCUAGCCUUGUAUAUAUAUUUCUCUAUUAUAAGAAGUUAAUUAUAUGAAUGAGAAUUAAGGUUUUCUCUCUCUCUCUUUCAACAACUUCAUAUUGUUCUAUCCUAUACAAGCAAGGGUUUCCAUCUUAUCAUCUUUACAACGAAAUAAUUUAUAAUCACACCAUACAGAAAAGUGAACAUGUGCGCAAACCAUGAUAUAAGCAAGAGAUAGGGUGAAAGAGAGUGGAAGUGAGAGGGUGAGGUAGGGAAAAAAGAGGGGAUACUUUUCUCCCAAAGUGAAAGUGGAUAGUCCUCUGCUCAAGUCAAGCCUUGAUUGAUUUCAUCAUGUUUUAUCCCAAACAAGCAAAGUUGCCAUUUUAUCAUCCUAACUACUAAAUAAUUGGCAAUCACACUAUACAGAAAAGUGAGCAUAUGGCACAAGCAGAAUGCAAGCAAGAGCGUGGUUAAUAUGGCCUAAGCAUAGAUUUGAAAGCACUUGGAGAAACCAGAAGAAAGAAAAUACAGUACCAAAAGUACAUUGCAUCAGGAGAAGUAAAUGCCUGUUGGAAAUUGAUAUUAGGUUGAAAAAAAAAAUAUUACUAGCUAUUUUUAUUUAAACAGAUCAUGGCUAAAAGCUCUCUUUACCUUCCCUGUCAAGAUUUCAAACUCAAGCAGCUCUUCCACAACCUUCUCAAGCACACGGCGGUUUUUCUGAAGCAUUUCUUUUGCUCUAUCAUAUGCUAAAUAAUACAUCUGCAUAAUACCAAGCAUCUAAUGAAGAAGGUUCUCUCCCAAUAUCAAACUAGUUGUAAGAAAAUUGGUGGAGUUAGGUUCCUUAUAUUAGAGCUCAAGAGUUAUCUGUAUAUUAAAAACACUGGAGCACAUAAUGUACUGCUGCAACAUAUACAAACCUUUUCAAUUUUGGCUGCCACCUCGUACUCAUGGUUGUUUCCCAUACUCAAAGCACUAACCUGUGUCAGUGAACAAAAAUAUUCAACAUGAACAAUCUAGCAGCAGACUGACAAA
RNAcentral lists this long non-coding RNA (37784 nucleotides) under Vitis vinifera (wine grape). Its description in RNAcentral is "long non-coding RNA (VVIN_LNC004524)". The record is from RNAcentral. Lineage: Eukaryota; Viridiplantae; Streptophyta; Magnoliopsida; Vitales; Vitaceae.